RNAcentral lists this ribosomal RNA (467 nucleotides) under uncultured bacterium. RNAcentral's name for it is "partial 16S ribosomal RNA". It matches the Rfam family "Bacterial small subunit ribosomal RNA", at positions 28 to 506 of the family's 1533-position model. The record is from RNAcentral.
GACGAACGCUGGCGGCGCGCCUAACACAUGCAAGUCGAACGGAGUCAAGAGGAGCUUGCUUUUCUUGACUUAGUGGCGAACGGGUGAGUAACGCGUGAGUAACCUGCCCUGGAGUGGGGGACAACAGUUGGAAACGACUGCUAAUACCGCAUAAGCCCACGGAUCUGCAUGGAUCUGCGGGAAAAGGAUUUAUUCGCUCUAGGAUGGACUCGCGUCCAAUUAGCUAGUUGGUGAGGUAACGGCCCACCAAGGCGACGAUUGGUAGCCGGACUGAGAGGUUGAACGGCCGCAUUGGGACUGAGACACGGCCCAGACUCCUACGGGAGGCAGCAGUGGGGGAUAUUGCACAAUGGGGGAAACCCUGAUGCAGCGGCGCCGCGUGGAGGAAGAAGGUUUUCGGAUUGUAAACUCCUGUCGUUAGGGACGAUAAUGACGGUACCUAACAAGAAAGCACCAGCUAACUACGU